Molecule: non-coding RNA, 115 nt
Organism: Triticum urartu
Lineage: Eukaryota; Viridiplantae; Streptophyta; Magnoliopsida; Poales; Poaceae
Source: Rfam
CAUGUACUCCCUCCGUUCGGAAUUACUUAUCAUGAAAAUGAAUGUAUCUAAAUGUAUUUUAGUUUUAGAUAUAUCCAUUUUCGAGACAAGUAAUUUCGAACGAAGGGAGUAAAAC